UAAGGAAUAUUGGACAAUGGGCGGAAGCCUGAUCCAGCCAUCCCGCGUGCAGGACGACGGCCCUCUGGGUUGUAAACUGCUUUUGGAAGGGAAGAAACCUAUGCCUGCGGGCGUAGCUGACGGUACCUUCAGAAUAAGCACCGGCUAACUCCGUGCCAGCAGCCGCGGUAAUACGGAGGGUGCAAGCGUUAUCCGGAAUCACUGGGUUUAAAGGGUGCGUAGGCGGCUUUUUAAGUCAGUGGUGAAAUUCUACCGCUUAACGGUAGGGGGUCCAUUGAUACUGAGAAGCUUGAAAAGGGUUGAGGUAGGCAGAAUGUGGCAUGUAGCGGUGAAAUGCUUAGAUAUGCCAUAGAACACCGAUUGCGAAGGCAGCUUACUGGACCGAUUUUGACGCUGAGGC
Molecule: ribosomal RNA, 400 nt
Filed under: uncultured bacterium
Lineage: Bacteria
Description: bacterial SSU rRNA
Rfam family: Bacterial small subunit ribosomal RNA
Source: RNAcentral